UCGAGCGAAUGGAUUAAGAGCUUGCUCUUAUGAAGUUAGCGGCGGAUGGGUGAGUAACACGUGGGUAACCUGCCCAUAAGACUGGGAUAACUCCGGGAAACCGGGGCUAAUACCGGAUAACAUUUUGAACCGCAUGGUUCGAAAUUGAAAGGCGGCUUCGGCUGUCACUUAUGGAUGGACCCGCGUCGCAUUAGCUAGUUGGUGAGGUAACGGCUCACCAAGGCAACGAUGCGUAGCCGACCUGAGAGGGUGAUCGGCCACACUGGGACUGAGACACGGCCCAGACUCCUACGGGAGGCAGCAGUAGGGAAUCUUCCGCAAUGGACGAAAGUCUGACGGAGCAACGCCGCGUGAGUGAUGAAGGCUUUCGGGUCGUAAAACUCUGUUGUUAGGGAAGAACAAGUGCUAGUUGAAUAAGCUGGCACCUUGACGGUACCUAACCAGAAAGCCACGGCUAACUACGUGCCAGCAGCCGCGGUAAUACGUAGGUGGCAAGCGUUAUCCGGAAUUAUUGGGCGUAAAGCGCGCGCAGGUGGUUUCUUAAGUCUGAUGUGAAAGCCCACGGCUCAACCGUGGAGGGUCAUUGGAAACUGGGAGACUUGAGUGCAGAAGAGGAAAGUGGAAUUCCAUGUGUAGCGGUGAAAUGCGUAGAGAUAUGGAGGAACACCAGUGGCGAAGGCGACUUUCUGGUCUGUAACUGACACUGAGCGCGAAAGCGUGGGGAGCAAACAGGAU
This 735-nucleotide ribosomal RNA is filed under the name Bacillus cereus. RNAcentral describes it as "bacterial SSU rRNA". It matches the Rfam family "Bacterial small subunit ribosomal RNA", at positions 62 to 778 of the family's 1533-position model. The record is from RNAcentral. Lineage: Bacteria; Bacillati; Bacillota; Bacilli; Caryophanales; Bacillaceae.